This 292-nucleotide signal recognition particle RNA is filed under the name Piliocolobus tephrosceles (Ugandan red Colobus). RNAcentral describes it as "Metazoan signal recognition particle RNA (ENSPTEG00000039199.1)". It matches the Rfam family "Metazoan signal recognition particle RNA". From Rfam's summary of the family: The signal recognition particle (SRP) is a universally conserved ribonucleoprotein. It is involved in the co-translational targeting of proteins to membranes. The eukaryotic SRP consists of a 300-nucleotide 7S RNA and six proteins: SRPs 72, 68, 54, 19, 14, and 9. Lineage: Eukaryota; Metazoa; Chordata; Mammalia; Primates; Cercopithecidae. The record is from Rfam by way of RNAcentral.
ACUGUGCAUGACGCUUGUGUCUGUAGUCCUGGCUACUUGGAAGGCCGAGGUGGGAGAUUGCUGGAGCCCACCCAUUCUGGGCUGUAGUAUGCAGUGCUAAUCCUGUGUGUACACUGAGUUCGGCAUCAGUAUGGUGACCUGGGAGCUAGGGACCACCAGGUUGCCUAAGGAAGGGGGUGAACCCGUCCAACCUGGAAACAGCAGUCAGAACUCCUGUGCUGAUCAGCAGUGGGAGCAGGGCUGUAAGUAGCCACUGCCCUCCAGCCUAGCAACACAGCCAGACCUGUCUCUU